GGUUAAGCGACUAAGCGUACACGGUGGAUGCCCUGGCAGUCAGAGGCGAUGAAGGACGUGCUAAUCUGCGAAAAGCGUCGGUAAGGUGAUAUGAACCGUUAUAACCGGCGAUGUCCGAAUGGGGAAACCCAGUGUGAUUCGUCACACUAUCGUUAACUGAAUACAUAGGUUAACGAGGCGAACCGGGGGAACUGAAACAUCUAAGUACCCCGAGGAAAAGAAAUCAACCGAGAUUCCCCCAGUAGCGGCGAGCGAACGGGGAGCAGCCCAGAGUCUGAAUCAGCUUGUGUGUUAGUGGAACGGUCUGGAAAGUCCGACGGUACAGGGUGAUAGUCCCGUACACCAAAAUGCACAGGCUGUGAACUCGAAGAGUAGGGCGGGACACGUGGUAUCCUGUCUGAAUAUGGGGGGACCAUCCUCCAAGGCUAAAUACUCCUGACUGACCGAUAGUGAACCAGUACCGUGAGGGAAAGGCGAAAAGAACCCCGGCGAGGGGAGUGAAAAAGAACCUGAAACCGUGUACGUACAAGCAGUGGGAGCACCUUCGGGUGUGACUGCGUACCUUUUGUAUAAUGGGUCAGCGACUUAUAUUCUGUAGCAAGGUUAACCGUAUAGGGGAGCCGCAGGGAAACCGAGUCUUAACUGGGCGUUAAGUUGCAGGGUAUAGACCCGAAACCCGGUGAUCUAGCCAUGGGCAGGUUGAAGGUUGGGUAACACUAACUGGAGGACCGAACCGACUAAUGUUGAAAAAUUAGCGGAUGACUUGUGGCUGGGGGUGAAAGGCCAAUCAAACCGGGAGAUAGCUGGUUCUCCCCGAAAGCUAUUUAGGUAGCGCCUCGUGAACUCAUCUUCGGGGGUAGAGCACUGUUUCGGCUAGGGGGUCAUCCCGACUUACCAACCCGAUGCAAACUACGAAUACCGAAGAAUGUUAUCACGGGAGACACACGGCGGGUGCUAACGUCCGUCGUGAAGAGGGAAACAACCCAGACCGCCAGCUAAGGUCCCAAAGUCAUGGUUAAGUGGGAAACGAUGUGGGAAGGCACAGACAGCCAGGAUGUUGGCUUAGAAGCAGCCAUCAUUUAAAGAAAGCGUAAUAGCUCACUGGUCGAGUCGGCCUGCGCGGAAGAUGUAACGGGGCUAAACCAUGCACCGAAGCUGCGGCAGCGACACUAUGUGUUGUUGGGUAGGGGAGCGUUCUGUAAGCCUGCGAAGGUGACCUGUGAGGGUUGCUGGAGGUAUCAGAAGUGCGAAUGCUGACAUAAGUAACGAUAAAGCGGGUGAAAAGCCCGCUCGCCGGAAGACCAAGGGUUCCUGUCCAACGUUAAUCGGGGCAGGGUGAGUCGACCCCUAAGGCGAGGCCGAAAGGCGUAGUCGAUGGGAAACAGGUUAAUAUUCCUGUACUUGGUGUUACUGCGAAGGGGGGACGGAGAAGGCUAUGUUAGCCGGGCGACGGUUGUCCCGGUUUAAGCAUGUAGGCUGAUUAUCCAGGCAAAUCCGGAUAAUCAAGGCUGAGGUGUGAUGACGAGGCACUACGGUGCUGAAGUAACAAAUGCCCUGCUUCCAGGAAAAGCCUCUAAGCAUCAGGUAACAUCAAAUCGUACCCCAAACCGACACAGGUGGUCAGGUAGAGAAUACCAAGGCGCUUGAGAGAACUCGGGUGAAGGAACUAGGCAAAAUGGUGCCGUAACUUCGGGAGAAGGCACGCUGGUGUGUAGGUGAAGUCCCUGCGGAUGGAGCUGAGACCAGUCGAAGAUACCAGCUGGCUGCAACUGUUUAUUAAAAACACAGCACUGUGCAAACACGAAAGUGGACGUAUACGGUGUGACGCCUGCCCGGUGCCGGAAGGUUAAUUGAUGGGGUUAUCCGUAAGGAGAAGCUCUUGAUCGAAGCCCCGGUAAACGGCGGCCGUAACUAUAACGGUCCUAAGGUAGCGAAAUUCCUUGUCGGGUAAGUUCCGACCUGCACGAAUGGCGUAAUGAUGGCCAGGCUGUCUCCACCCGAGACUCAGUGAAAUUGAACUCGCUGUGAAGAUGCAGUGUACCCGCGGCAAGACGGAAAGACCCCGUGAACCUUUACUAUAGCUUGACACUGAACAUUGAGCCUUGAUGUGUAGGAUAGGUGGGAGGCUUUGAAGCGUGGACGCCAGUCUGCGUGGAGCCAACCUUGAAAUACCACCCUUUAAUGUUUGAUGUUCUAACGUUGGCCCCUGACCGGGGUUGCGGACAGUGUCUGGUGGGUAGUUUGACUGGGGCGGUCUCCUCCCAAAGCGUAACGGAGGAGCACGAAGGUUAGCUAAUCCUGGUCGGACAUCAGGAGGUUAGUGCAAUGGCAUAAGCUAGCUUGACUGCGAGCGUGACGGCGCGAGCAGGUGCGAAAGCAGGUCAUAGUGAUCCGGUGGUUCUGAAUGGAAGGGCCAUCGCUCAACGGAUAAAAGGUACUCCGGGGAUAACAGGCUGAUACCGCCCAAGAGUUCAUAUCGACGGCGGUGUUUGGCACCUCGAUGUCGGCUCAUCACAUCCUGGGGCUGAAGUAGGUCCCAAGGGUAUGGCUGUUCGCCAUUUAAAGUGGUACGCGAGCUGGGUUUAGAACGUCGUGAGACAGUUCGGUCCCUAUCUGCCGUGGGCGCUGGAGAAUUGAGGGGGGCUGCUCCUAGUACGAGAGGACCGGAGUGGACGCAUCACUGGUGUUCGGGUUGUCAUGCCAAUGGCACUGCCCGGUAGCUAAAUGCGGAAGAGAUAAGUGCUGAAAGCAUCUAAGCACGAAACUUGCCCCGAGAUGAGUUCUCCCUGAGACUUUAAGUCUCCUGAAGGAACGUUGAAGACGACGACGUUGAUAGGCCGGGUGUGUAAGCGCAGCGAUGCGUUGAGCUAACCGGUACUAAUGAACCGUGAGGCUUAACCUU
This 2902-nucleotide ribosomal RNA is filed under the name Klebsiella pneumoniae. Its description in RNAcentral is "23S ribosomal RNA". It matches the Rfam family "Bacterial large subunit ribosomal RNA". Lineage: Bacteria; Pseudomonadati; Pseudomonadota; Gammaproteobacteria; Enterobacterales; Enterobacteriaceae. RNAcentral also lists the same sequence under 1 other name. The record is from RNAcentral.